RNAcentral lists this ribosomal RNA (494 nucleotides) under uncultured bacterium. RNAcentral describes it as "partial 16S ribosomal RNA". It matches the Rfam family "Bacterial small subunit ribosomal RNA", at positions 29 to 523 of the family's 1533-position model. The record is from RNAcentral.
AAUAAACGCUGACGGCGUGCUUAACACAUGCAAGUCGAACGAGUUUAAUGAAGUCGUAAGAUGACAUUAAAUUAGUGGCAAACGGGUGAGUAAUACAUGGGUAAUCUACCUUUAAGUGGGGGAUAGCUUCGCGAAAGCGGAGAUAAUACCGCAUAUGACCACGACUUGAGAUUCUCAAGUUGAGGUAAAAGGCGCAAGCCGCUUAUCAAUGAGCCCAUGGCCUAUCAGCUAGUUGGUGAGGUAAAAGCUCACCAAGGCAACGACGGGUAGCCGGCCUGAAAGGGUGAACGGCCACACUGGAACUGAUACACGGUCCAGACUCCUACGGGAGGCAGCAGUGGGGAAUAUUGCACAAUGGGCGAAAGCCUGAUGCAGCGACGCCGCGUGAGGGAUGACGGCCUUCGGGUUGUAAACCUCUUUCAGCAGGGAAGAAGCGCAAGUGACGGUACCUGCAGAAGAAGCACCGGCUAACUACGUGCCAGCAGCCGCGGUAA